CUGAAAAAAUCAGAACAAUAUCUAUAUUAUCUAUACUAAUAUAAUAAAGUAAAGUUUCUUAGGUAGUUGGGCAUAAUCUGUGGACCCACUAAACAAAAUUUGAAAAUUCUUAUACCAAUAGCAAGGUACAUUAUUUGUGAGUGUGAUAGGCUGUAUUUUAUCUCCAUUUUCCCACAGGAAUGGGAAUUACGCGGGUGAAACCACAUGGCGACUGCUAUAUAUAACUAAAUGACCCAACAUUUAUUUGCCUUAUUGCUAAAUAAUAAGGUACAAUGGUGGACGGAAAAAUUUUGCCAAAAAAAAUUUAAAAAAAAAAGUAAAGUUUGUGAGGUUGUUGGGGAUAAUCUGUGGUUCUACUAAAACAAUUUUGAAAAUUCUUAUAUAUCCCCAUUUUCCCACAGGAAUGGGAAUUACACAGGCAAAACGACAAGACAACUGCUAUAUAUAACUAGCUGACCCAUCAUUGAUUUGCCUUAUCGCUAAAUAAUAGGGAAUGAUGGUUGACGGAAAAAAUUUCCAUCAAAAUUGAAAAAAAAAAGUUGUGAUGGUGUCAGUUAGGGGUAUGAAAAAUAGAUGUUGGCCGAUUUUCAAGACCUACCCCAUUUGCACAUAAAUACAAAAAUUUGGGAGGAGUUUGAUGACAAACACAGCAACAAGACAAUUCAAAAUUUUAUGAAACAGCUUGGUUUUUUUUUUGUUUUGGUUGCUUGGUUAGUAGGCUUAGUUUACAAGCACUUUUGAGACUUCAAUGACUAUAUACACAGACUCUACCAACCAAUCAAAAGGCAGGCUCUGCUGAGGAGAGCUAUUCUGUCUUCUUAGAAAUUCAGUUAAAAUUCUUAGUCCACAGUGAGAUGUGGUAUUACAUAACUGUGCUCAUAUUAAUUUACUCUUUGGCCAGUCCUGCAAGCUAAUUCAGUAACUUUGACGUAUGCUAGAUGACAUAUUAUACGAAAUUGAGGUUCAAUGUAACAAAUGUCAUUCAGCACUUGGUGGAUAUACUGUAGAUGACAUUUUGCCAAUUGAUUAAAUCUUUAUUUUAAUAGGCUGUCGCUGUAGAUGUUGGCUAUCUUGAGCGUGAUGUACGAAUACGUACACUGCUCAGUAAUCACUGAUGUGUUGGGGGAUUUAAACAAUGUUGUCGGAAAUCUCGUUAAUGGACUAAACUCUACAGGACAGCAGCUAGCGAAGGAUGUAGUGGGUGACCCUUCGAGCUAGACUAAAUACUGGAUCAUCGACAUUGUUUGCUGCACUGAAGUAGAGUCAACGAGUAGAAACAUGUACACCAAAAAUACUCAACAUCUCAAACGGGCUGUUUAACUACCAAUCUUUGCCUAUGGGAACAAAUUGAAAAAAAAAACAUCAAAGACGAAAACCUCUUUGUAAAUUCCCAUAAUAAAAAUACUCAACGUCUCAAGCGGGCUGUAUAACUACCAAUCUUUGCCUAUGGGGACAAAUUGAAAAAAAAACACCAAAGACAAAAACCUCCUUGCAAUAUGAAAAAUCCUUGAAAAAUUCCUUGUAAUAUGAAUUAUUACUCGUAUAGUUUCGGUAAAUUUUAUCUACAUAAUGAUUAAGAAAAACUAUUCAACAAAGGAGCUGAUUUUGUUGAAUAGGUUAUUUUGUACUUUCUGGUUCUGAGUUUUUUUUUCUAAUAAUGUCUGUCCCAUGCGCAUACAUAAAUUUGGUAGUACAUCGUUCAUCUUACUUUGCUGACACUAUUUUAUGGGCAGCUAUGAAUAUUAUGCUAACCCUUGGCUUUGUUAAAAUUGGUUAAGAAAGUUAUUGCAAUAAAUAUUUUAUUUUCUCAUUUACCUAUUGUAUUUUUAUU
Molecule: long non-coding RNA, 1831 nt
Organism: Bicyclus anynana (squinting bush brown)
Lineage: Eukaryota; Metazoa; Arthropoda; Insecta; Lepidoptera; Nymphalidae
Exons: 4
Source: RefSeq, a predicted model, not a curated record